RNAcentral lists this long non-coding RNA (1975 nucleotides) under Homo sapiens (human). RNAcentral describes it as "HSALNT0288429". The record is from RNAcentral. Lineage: Eukaryota; Metazoa; Chordata; Mammalia; Primates; Hominidae.
CAGAGUCUUACUCUCUCACCAGGCUGGAGUGCAGUGGUACAAUCUUGGCUCACUGCAACCUCUACCUCCCGGGUUCAAGCGAUUAUCCUGCCUCAGCCUCCCAAGUAGUUGGGACCACAGACAAUUUCAAGUUUAUUCUGCUUCAGCUGUCAUAGUGGCAACCCGCACUAAGAGUUUGUCACCAAACUCUCAUCGUUAAGCUUGGAAUGUCUUCAAGUACAAAUGGUUAUGCAAUUUGGGAAUUACCAGUUUAUUUUCCAAGAAGGUAAGAUGCAUCCUGUUGGUGAAUGCAGGACAACCUGGCGGGCCAGGUGCAUAAAUCUUUGACUUCCCCACCAUGACGAGGUUUGGAUAAGACUUCAACCCAGUGAUGGCCAAUGAGACUGGAUGGUGCAGUCUACAAAUAUUCCACUAGCUUGUGGUGGAAUAAAUCAGUGUUGUGUAUUUUCUUUGGUCUUUUCUUCUCGGUGCUCAUGUGAAUGUGCCUAUCUGUUCUAAAACCAGGUCAUUAAAAAUAUGUCAAUAUUUUAAACAUUAAAUAUUUAAAUCUGUUAUAAUUACACAAAUUUACAUGGUUUACAUAGGUUUAUUCUUUUUUUCUUGUUGUUUGUUUUUUUGAGACGGAGUCUCGCUCUGUCACCCAGGCUGGAGUGCAAUGGCGCGAUCUCGGCUCACUGCAAGCUCCGCCUCCCGGGUCCACACCAUUCUCCUGCCUCAGCCUCUCCGAGUAGCUGGGACUAUAGGCACCCGCCACCACGCCCGGCUAAUUUUUUGUAUUUUUAGUAGAGACAGGGUUUCACCGUGGUCUCAAUCUCCUGACCUCGUGAUCUGCCCGCCUCGGCCUCCCAAAGUGCUGGGAUUACAGGCUUGAGCCACUGCGCCAGGCCCAUAUAGGUUUAUUUUUUAAUAUCUAUAAACUUUUUGCUUCUAGUUAGUUCACAGCAGAGGGCAGACUCAUUCUUUUUUGUAACUUAAAGAGUCAAAUUGUUGAUAAAUUACACUUACAGAUAAUGUGCUCUUGAGUUUAUCGCACCUGAAAUUCUCCCAUUGACCUGUAUAUUUUUGGACAUGUAUGUGUACUACUAUAUAUGAAAUAUGAAAUAUAUGUAUCUUUGAUUCAUAUAUGUAUGUAUUCAUAUAUGAUAUGAAUCAUAUCAUUGAUAUAUGUAUGUAUAUGUGUGUAUAUAUAUAAAUAUAUAUAUACUAUUUGUAAUUUCUAUUAUUUUUUCAAGUGACUGUGUGCAUUUUAAAAUUAUUGUCUACUUAGUAUUCUGGAAAAAAAUUUAGAAGACUAAUGCUGUUACAUGCUAUUUUAGAGUGGUUAUGAUCAAAGUCAUAAAAUGAGAAAGUGGUGAACCAGGAUGCAAAUGGAACAUUGACAUACUAAUACAAUUUCACCUAAUGUAUGUAGCCAGAAGUCAGACACAGUCAAGAAGUUGGGAUUUGAAGAUAGAAAUUUUUAAGAGCAAAAGAAGAGACACUAUUCCAUGGAGUUUGCAUUGUGAGUUUAUGAAUGAAUGUAGAAAAUGGUAAUUUGGUCUCCUUCAUUCCUAUGGUAAAUGUCUUCAUUGAUCAUAGAAAAGAGGAUGUUAUUGGAUAUGUGUGUCCAGAUAGUCAUUUAGCUGAUUCUCCAAUCACCAGGCUUGUCACUACCAAUGAAUGAUCCAAAAAAGUUCCACCAUGUGACUGACCAGGCACCUAACACACACUAUAACUUUUGCUAGGAUGUGCAAUUUUGACUUAAGAUGUAGGCUGGGCUUCUACUCUCAUAUUGGCUGAAUCUAAGUAGCACCUGAACAUUGAUCCCAAAGAGAUGAACCCUACUGAAUGUCUUUGUGAAAAAAUGGUAGGGUAAAAUACAUGCAGCAGUACAGAACCUCCAGGCUGGAUGCUGUGGCUCAGGCCUGUAAUCCUAGCAGUUUGGAAGGCUAAAGUGGGAGGUGAGCUUCACUUGAGCUCAGGUGUUUGACACCAG